RNA transcript from Solanum tuberosum (potato), 1124 nucleotides. It is a transcript of the gene named maf-like protein DDB_G0281937, with no coding region annotated. NCBI's taxonomy places the organism in Eukaryota, Viridiplantae, Streptophyta, Magnoliopsida, Solanales, Solanaceae. The record is from RefSeq and is a predicted model, not a curated record. The transcript is spliced from 6 exons.
AUGGUCACUUUUGCUUAUAAUAGGGACACAAUACAAUGAAUGACUCUCCCUAUGCUCUGGUUUUUUGCAUGAGGAACAUUAGCUAUGGCGAAGCAAACUGCAACAUCCUCUAAAUAUGUCAUAAACAAUGACAUGCUAAUCUUAUUUACCAAAACUGCAACAUGUACUAUAUUAUUUUGCUUAUAUUACAUUACUUAGUAUGUGCAAAUAGUUAAAAUCGACACCAUGCUAAUGUCUAUUGUACAUAUUAAUAUAAUAUAUAAUAUUAUCCAUCUUCUACAAACACCUUCAUCCUUCAUUCAUUAAUAUUAAAAAAAUUUCAAAACCAUAAUAUUUUGACUAUUGGGCCCGUGCUUGCCACGGGCCUCCCUACCCUAGUAUACAAAUAGAUUGCUUUUAGCCGUUCCGGCCAAUCACUCUCUUUUAUUCGCCUUACUUGAUAAAAUCCUCGGUUGCUUAUCUCCAAAGCUAACCGUUGCCCUUUCAGGAAGAGGUGAGAAAGAGAGCGCCAAACAAAUGGCUCCGAAGAACUUGUCGUUCAAGAUAAUCUUGGGUUCGUCCUCAAUGGCACGUCGCAAAAUUCUAGCGGACAUGGGUUAUGAAUUUACAGUUAUGGGUGCCGACAUUGAUGAAAAGAGGAUUAGGAAGGAUAAUGCAGAGGAAUUAGUGGUAGCUCUAGCAGAGGCAAAGGCAGAUGCUAUCAUGUCAAGGCUCAAAACAACUGAUCAUUUGGAGGAAAAUACCCAUUCCACUCUGUUAAUUACUGCAGAUACAAUCUUUUUGGCUAUAUCUUACCUACAUCUAUUGGUAUCAAGGUGGCUGUGUACGAUGGAAUUAUUAGAGAAAAGCCAUCAAGUAAGGAAGAAGCGCGUCAGUUCAUCAAAAGUAUGUUUGUAUUUGCGGUCUGCAGUUCCCUCCAGUAUCUCAGCUAAGCAGGUUAUUCUUUUUCUUUUCUACCAAUAUUACUGUUCUUGUUAUUAUGAAUUGCAGGUUAUUCUGGUGGUCAAGCCACGGUUGUAGGAUCUGUCGUUGUGACCAACCUUACAAAGGGCAUAAGAAAAGGAGCUUGGGAAAGGUCAGAGGUAUAUUUCCAUGACAUACCUGAUGAGAUCAUUGACAGCCUG